GGUUGCUACCUUUUCGAACAACACUUGAGCCUCACCUUAGCAUUGCCUUCAACUUCUCUACCUCAGCCCAGGCCUCGAUCAGCUUCUUUUUUUCUUCAGCAGCUUUGAUCCCUGCCUCACUGAGCUAUAGUGCCUAUUCUCGCUCCCCCACCUUCUGCUAAUGCAUAUCAAAUGAUGCUUAAUGGUGAUGAAGCCAUCCAAGGCUUC
Molecule: long non-coding RNA, 207 nt
Filed under: Elaeis guineensis (African oil palm)
Lineage: Eukaryota; Viridiplantae; Streptophyta; Magnoliopsida; Arecales; Arecaceae
Description: long non-coding RNA (EGUI_LNC027597)
Source: RNAcentral